Molecule: long non-coding RNA, 257 nt
Organism: Penaeus chinensis
Lineage: Eukaryota; Metazoa; Arthropoda; Malacostraca; Decapoda; Penaeidae
Exons: 3
Source: RefSeq, a predicted model, not a curated record
UACAUCCCAUGAGGCUAGUGUUUCAACAUCCUCACCUGGUGGUGCACCAUCAUCAAGAAGCGAUAGUAGUGAACCAGGCCCAUCUACAUCUCGACAAGCUGGUGCUGCAGGUUCCAGAAGAGGCUGUCGAUCUCAGACAUUUCUGGACCUCCUUGAUGAAAGCGACUUUAGUGAGAGUGAUGAUGACUGGCUACCCGAGGUAGUGACGUCAGCUGGGAGACUGAUUGGUGUUGAAGAAGCUGUCACUUCAUCGGACG